Molecule: ribosomal RNA, 341 nt
Filed under: Wanella milleporae
Lineage: Eukaryota; Metazoa; Arthropoda; Thecostraca; Balanomorpha; Balanidae
Description: partial 12S ribosomal RNA
Source: RNAcentral
UACUCAUAACAAAAAAUUUUUGGAAUAGUACUAUUAAUGAAAUUUAACGGAUUUGGCGGCAAGAUAGCCACUUAGAGGAACCUGCCCUGUAAACGAUGAACCACGAUUAACCUUACUUUUAUUAGAAUCCAGUUUGUAUACCGCUGUUGUCAGUUAGUUUCUUUAGAAAACUUUCGUACAUGAAAAGUUCAAGGACUUCAAGUAAAGGUGCAGCUUAUGUAAAAGAUAGAGGUGGGUUACAAUUAAAAGAAUAAUAUGGAUAAAGUAGAGAAGAAACUUUUGAAGGUGGAUUUAAUAGUAAAGUUUAAAAAGACUUGAUUAGAGCUCUAUCUUGUGUACAC